This is a non-coding RNA of Picea glauca (white spruce), 73 nucleotides long. Lineage: Eukaryota; Viridiplantae; Streptophyta; Pinopsida; Pinales; Pinaceae. The record is from Rfam.
UCCGUUGUAGUCUAGUUGGUUAAGAUACUCGAUUCUCACCCCAGAGACUUGGGUUCAAAUCCUGACAACAAAA